This 503-nucleotide ribosomal RNA is filed under the name uncultured Rhodococcus sp. RNAcentral describes it as "bacterial SSU rRNA". It matches the Rfam family "Bacterial small subunit ribosomal RNA", at positions 903 to 1382 of the family's 1533-position model. Lineage: Bacteria; Bacillati; Actinomycetota; Actinomycetes; Mycobacteriales; Nocardiaceae. The record is from RNAcentral.
CGCCUUGCCAGCCCGCUCAGAAACUCAAAGGAAUUGACGGGGGCCGCACAAGCGGCGGAGCAUGUGGAUUAAUUCGAUGCAACGCGAAGAACCUUACCUGGGUUUGACAUACACCGGAAAACCGUAGAGAUACGGUCCCCCUUGUGGUCGGUGUACAGGUGGUGCAUGGCUGUCGUCAGCUCGUGUCGUGAGAUGUUGGGUUAAGUCCCGCAACGAGCGCAACCCUUGUCUUAUGUUGCCAGCACGUGAUGGUGGGGACUCGUAAGAGACUGCCGGGGUCAACUCGGAGGAAGGUGGGGACGACGUCAAGUCAUCAUGCCCCUUAUGUCCAGGGCUUCACACAUGCUACAAUGGCCAGUACAGAGGGCUGCGAGACCGUGAGGUGGAGCGAAUCCCUUAAAGCUGGUCUCAGUUCGGAUCGGGGUCUGCAACUCGACUUCAUGAAGUCGGAAUCGCUAGUAAUCGCGGAUCAGAACGCCGCGGUGAAUACGUUCCCGGGCCUU